Molecule: non-coding RNA, 1472 nt
Organism: Cinara cedri
Lineage: Eukaryota; Metazoa; Arthropoda; Insecta; Hemiptera; Aphididae
Source: the annotation of a GenBank genome assembly
AUAACAAUUAAUAAAUUAAAACUUUAUCAUAAUAAGGACACAAUAACAACUGGAAAAAUAAAAUAAAAGUUAUCUCUUAUCCAAUCUCUUAAUCCAAAGUCAAUAGGAACUGUUUAUUUUCGUUUGUAUUAAAAAAAAGAAUACGAAUUACAUAAAUAAAUCGUUCAGUCUCCACAGCAUAUAUUAGUUAUACAAAUUUCAUUAUUGGACGGUUAAAACGCUCCGAAACCCCGGGUCUACGAUAUUAAAUUUAUUUUUCAAAUUGUUUCCGUAUACAAUUCGCAAGUAUUCCUUCGGGGGUGACAAUAGUUCGUUACAAAAGCGACCGCGACAAAGUUUUUAGCCGUUUUAGCCGUGGAUUCGGGUGAAAAACGAAAAAGAGAGAAAAAAAAAGGCCAAUGUUUUACACAUAUUGUAUUCUAUAAUUUACUCGAUUAUACGAUUUGCAUUAUCACCAAGACAACGUGUGUCCAAAAUACCGGGCGUGGGUGUACAUAAAAAAUACGUACCUAUAUAUACGUCACUUUACCGCACGAGUAUAAUACUUAAAGCUUCUGUGUAGGAAGUUUUUAUUUUCUUCGACAACCCUCGAAACACACAAUAUAAUAUAAUAAAUAUAUAUAUACUCGGUUUUUUUUUUUUGUUUCUAUACAUAUAAUAAUAAUAUUGUUGUGUUGUAUUUUUAUUUUUUUCGACGUGUCCCGAAAACUUUCAUUACACAUAUUGGACAAUAUCGCGUCGCGGUCCCAAUACGCGGCGAAAAAUGAAAAACAGCACAAAGCUGAUGAACAAACAGAAUAAUAUUAUUAGUUUUUUUACAAAACUUCAAUAUUUUUUCAACAAUCGUAUCUCAACUCGAAUUGUGUAUACAUACGAGACUGUAUAUUAUAAUGUGCUCUAGUUGUUUAUCGAGUGCCGCGCAGUUCAAAUACAAGUUUUCGAUUGAACAUUGUGGGUAGACGCGCUUCUCUUAAAAAGACCACCGCGGCUUGUGCGAGUAAUUUUAUCCGAGUAUACAACCGUGUACUCGGAGUAUCAAUCGACCGGAGCGCAUCAUUUCUUUUUUUUUUUUUUUUUUAACGCGAAAACCGUUAUUACAUUAUACACGGGCGACAAAUCGCCUAAAACUCCCGCGAAAACCGUUAUCGUCUGAACGCACACUUAAAGGCUAUAUAAAUUGUACGCGGUAUAUUAUACGACGGCAUUUCGCGUGGAUUUUUAUCCGAACGUAUAUAAUAUUGUAUAGUUUCAUCGGUCCGAUAAAAUUUCAAGGCCGGACGAGUUUACGGACGCGAUAUAAUAUCACCUCGGUGCGGUCCGCAUUUAAUCGAAGAAAAACAUCCAAUGAGUUCACGACGGUUACAAAUUAUUCGUUUUAUUAAUUAAUUAAGUUAAUGUUAAUCUUUUUCGGAAGUUUUGUAAAACGUAUUAUUACAAAGUGACCGUGAAAAUUAAACAAUUAUACAAUGCUG